CCUCUCCAGCAACAACUGAUGCUGGUGAUAACACUCCUAUUUAGAAAUCCUCCUUCUAUGUUUCUAUGUCUUCAUUCUUCUAAUUUUGCAUCUUUGUCCAGUUUCUGACUGUUCCUCACUAUUCCAAAAUGAAUUUUGUUCUCUUUCUUCUUCUCUCUUCUAUUUCUACAGUUUGAGCUACAAUCAAUCGAUUAUUUUCAUCAAUACAUCCCUAGGCUUUACCUCUCUUUACAUCUCAAAAUCGCCUCUGCAACAUCAUAUGUCCAAGACAGAACUCCCCUUCCUCCUGCAUAACUCACCAUAGCUCAGCUGAACUAACUAAAAAAUCCAAGAACUGAAAGAAGACAGAACAAGAGAAAGAGGAUACAACAAUUAGAUGCCAGUCGUGUUCUUGAGAGGAUAUUCUAGGGAAAGAACGAGUUUCUCUCUCCUCACGGCUGCCUGGGACACAUGCGGAGUCGAUUGUCACAUUAAAAAGCCGAGGGAUAAGCAAAAACACAUCCAAAGCAGGCAGCCAGAAGGAAGAGAAGUCUGGGGUCCAAGUCACAGGAUGCACAUUGGAGGCAACUGGGAAUGCCUCCUCUGCAGAGGGGACAAGUAAGGAGCAAUACAGUCACUGAUUCAAACAUCUGGAGCACUCAAAGGUAGAUGUCUUUAAAUGUGUUUGUGCAGUCAUGGAGGGCAAAUUCUAGCCCUCCAAGCAAGUGAGUGUGUGGUGGCCAAAAGCCUCCAUCCUCCUCCUUCCCUUGGUUUUCCUGAGUCCCCAUUUUGCUACUU
RNAcentral lists this long non-coding RNA (777 nucleotides) under Homo sapiens (human). RNAcentral describes it as "HSALNT0372611". Lineage: Eukaryota; Metazoa; Chordata; Mammalia; Primates; Hominidae. The record is from RNAcentral.